RNAcentral lists this ribosomal RNA (301 nucleotides) under uncultured bacterium. Its description in RNAcentral is "partial 16S ribosomal RNA". It matches the Rfam family "Bacterial small subunit ribosomal RNA", at positions 509 to 807 of the family's 1533-position model. The record is from RNAcentral.
CAGUAGCCGCGGUAAUACGAAGGGUGCAAGCGUUAAUCGGAAUUACUGGGCGUAAAGCGUGCGUAGGCGGUUUGUUAAGUCUGCUGUGAAAUCCCCGGGCUCAACCUGGGAAUGGCAGAGGAUACUGGCAAGCUAGAGUGUGUCAGAGGAUGGUGGAAUUCCCGGUGUAGCGGUGAAAUGCGUAGAGAUCGGGAGGAACAUCAGUGGCGAAGGCGGCCAUCUGGGACAACACUGACGCUGAGGCACGAAAGCGUGGGGAGCAAACAGGAUUAGAGACCCCCGUAGUCCCUGUCUCUUAUAC